RNAcentral lists this ribosomal RNA (1014 nucleotides) under uncultured bacterium. RNAcentral describes it as "bacterial SSU rRNA". It matches the Rfam family "Bacterial small subunit ribosomal RNA", at positions 359 to 1376 of the family's 1533-position model. The record is from RNAcentral.
GAAUAUUGGUCAAUGGGCGAGAGCCUGAACCAGCCAAGUAGCGUGAAGGAUGACCGCCCUAUGGGUUGUAAACUUCUUUUAUAUGGGAAUAAAGGGUGCCACGUGUGGCAUUUUGUAUGUACCAUAUGAAUAAGGAUCGGCUAACUCCGUGCCAGCAGCCGCGGUAAUACGGAGGAUCCGAGCGUUAUCCGGAUUUAUUGGGUUUAAAGGGAGCGUAGGUGGACAUGUAAGUCAGUUGUGAAAGUUUGCGGCUCAACCGUAAAAUUGCAGUUGAAACUGCGUGUCUUGAGUACAGUAGAGGUGGGCGGAAUUCGUGGUGUAGCGGUGAAAUGCUUAGAUAUCACGAAGAACUCCGAUUGCGAAGGCAGCUCACUGGACUGCAACUGACACUGAUGCUCGAAAGUGUGGGUAUCAAACAGGAUUAGAUACCCUGGUAGUCCACACAGUAAACGAUGAAUACUCGCUGUUUGCGAUAUACAGUAAGCGGCCAAGCGAAAGCAUUAAGUAUUCCACCUGGGGAGUACGCCGGCAACGGUGAAACUCAAAGGAAUUGACGGGGGCCCGCACAAGCGGAGGAACAUGUGGUUUAAUUCGAUGAUACGCGAGGAACCUUACCCGGGCUUAAAUUGCAAAUGAAUAUGCCGGAAACGGCAUAGCCGCAAGGCAUUUGUGAAGGUGCUGCAUGGUUGUCGUCAGCUCGUGCCGUGAGGUGUCGGCUUAAGUGCCAUAACGAGCGCAACCCUUAUCUUCAGUUACUAACAGGUCAUGCUGAGGACUCUGGAGAGACUGCCGUCGUAAGAUGUGAGGAAGGUGGGGAUGACGUCAAAUCAGCACGGCCCUUACGUCCGGGGCUACACACGUGUUACAAUGGGGGGUACAGAAGGCCGCUACACAGCGAUGUGAUGCCAAUCCCUAAAGCCCCUCUCAGUUCGGAUCGAAGUCUGCAACCCGACUUCGUGAAGCUGGAUUCGCUAGUAAUCGCGCAUCAGCCACGGCGCGGUGAAUACGUUCCCG